GGGUGCAAAAACAGAAAGAUCCUGAGCCUAGUAAAUCCAUCACCAGAAUCCAACUUAUCGUAUUCCUCCAUCAUAUUGACCACAUCAUCGUCAUUCACUACUGAGACGAGAGCAUCAAGAUCCUCGUCAGGCUGCUGAUACUUCAGUACCAUUGCCCCCUCAUAGAUCUCCCUCAUUUUAGUCAUGAGUUCGUCAUAAGAAAUAUCACGCGGAACACACACUAUCCUUGUCUCACCACCCACAUACCGAAGCUUCCCAUCCUGUGGCCU
This 269-nucleotide unclassified non-coding RNA is filed under the name Hevea brasiliensis (rubber tree). Lineage: Eukaryota; Viridiplantae; Streptophyta; Magnoliopsida; Malpighiales; Euphorbiaceae. The record is from RNAcentral.